Catharus ustulatus (Swainson's thrush) is the source of this 590-nucleotide long non-coding RNA. RefSeq lists it as uncharacterized. The record is from RefSeq and is a predicted model, not a curated record. The transcript is spliced from 3 exons. NCBI's taxonomy places the organism in Eukaryota, Metazoa, Chordata, Aves, Passeriformes, Turdidae.
UGCAGCUGGACCUGCUCGGAGCAGCAGAGCUCCUGUCACAGCCUGCAGCACUGCUCAGCUGCAGCUGGCAGGAGAGAGCAGUGAGUGAGGCACCGAGACACACACUGCUCUGCACACCUCUGCCUGGGCACUAACUCUGAUCUUGCAGAACAGUGCUGCUUUGGCUUGCAUCUAGGAUCAAACUCCAAGUAGGAAAAAGGAGAAUACUGGUAUCACACAAAUUGCCAUAUGCUCUGGGAUGACACUGCUUGAGCAGGGAGGUUGGAGCAGAUGAUCCAUUGUGGUCCCUUCCAACCUGACCCAUUCUGCGAUUCUGAGCCUGGGUGCAGUAUAAACAGUGGCAUUAACAUUACUCCAAAAUACCUCAUUCCUGUGGACAGAACUUUUAAGUGGAAGUCCUUUGUCAAGGCUUUAUCACAGAAUGAAGUUUCUCUUACAUGUCUGCUCUGGUCCUCACCUCCUGUGACUUGUGUUCCAUAAUAUGUUACUAGUUUGUACCUCAUAGGUUGUCAUCUGCAUACUCUGUCUUAACCAAUUCAAUUUACAUGGCACAUCAAUAUUAAAAAUUCACUUACAUUACUAAAAAUUCA